This 365-nucleotide long non-coding RNA is filed under the name Homo sapiens (human). RNAcentral's name for it is "HSALNT0361538". Lineage: Eukaryota; Metazoa; Chordata; Mammalia; Primates; Hominidae. The record is from RNAcentral.
UGCACAGACAGUUCCCAGAGCCCAAAUUACACCAUAUGUGAUGAUGCGACCAUGCCAGCCUCCCCAGCCAGACUGAAAGUUCACCUAGGACAGAGCCUGGGACAGAUCCCCUCUGUGUCCAGGACACUCAGGAAGCGGGUAGGCAAGGAGCCACUCACCACUCCAGGCACACACACACACCUCAUAGGUCACCCCGCUGUCGGUGCCAGCGUCCCAGGGAAUCAGGUCUUGCACCACCUUCUGGACCCAGCCACAUUCCUUGGUGCACAGAUCUUCUGCAGAUAAGCCUACGUUCCAGUCGGGACUAGGGCCCACUGGGCGGCUGUUUGGGCAGACGCCAAGCUGGCUGCAGUUUUUUUUUUUUU